This 373-nucleotide unclassified non-coding RNA is filed under the name uncultured Bacteroidota bacterium. RNAcentral's name for it is "uncultured Bacteroidetes bacterium contains 16S-23S intergenic spacer region". The record is from RNAcentral. Lineage: Bacteria; Pseudomonadati; Bacteroidota.
UCCGGUUUGUCACCGGCAGUCUCGCAUGAGUCCCCAACUGAAUGCUGGCAACAUGCGACAGGGGUUGCGUUCGUUGCGGGACUUAACCCAACAUCUCACGACACGAACUGACGACAGCCAUGCAGCACCUCACUACCGACCCGAAGGAAACCCCCUUUCAGGGGCUGUCCGGUAGCGUUCGAGCCUAGGUAAGGUUCUUCGCGUUGCAUCGAAUUAAGCCACAUACUCCACCGCUUGUGCAGGCCCCCGUCAAUUCCUUCGAGUUUCACUCUUGCGAGCGUACUCCCCAGGUGGGAUGCUUAACGCGUUAGCUUAGGCACUGCCCCAAAGAGCGGGGCAACACCGAGCAUCCAUCGUUUACGGCGUGGACUAC